RNAcentral lists this ribosomal RNA (253 nucleotides) under uncultured bacterium. RNAcentral describes it as "partial 16S ribosomal RNA". It matches the Rfam family "Bacterial small subunit ribosomal RNA", at positions 524 to 776 of the family's 1533-position model. The record is from RNAcentral.
GACGGGGGAUGCAAGCGUUAUCCGGCCUCACUGGGCGUAAAGCGUCUGUCGGUGGUGAUGCAAGUCACUGGUGCAAAACUCUGGCUCAACCGGAGGAAAGCCAGUGAAACUGCAUGACUAGAGUGUGGGAGAGGUAGAAGGAAUUCCCUGAGUAGCGGUGAAAUGCGUAGAUACAGGGAAGAACACCGGAGGCGAAAGCGUUCUACUGGAACACAACUGACACUGAGAGACGAAAGCUAGGGGAGCGAAGGGG